UAAUUAUUCUCUUCCAGAGAAUAUUUUUCCCGUAUUGCUAUUUCCAAGGGCUUUCUGUCUGAUUUAUUUUCUGUUUUCAGGACUCAGUGAAGCAGAAAACCAAAAGUUAGUCUUCAGUGGUUGGGGAAAAUCCUGAAAGUUGGCGGAGGUGGUCUCCGGAUGAUCCAGCCCAGUUUUUCCAGGACGAGGGAGCAAAGAGCUGGCAAGUGCAGAAUCUAAAAGUUCAGCAAUGUUACCACACACUGAGAUGUGAAAAGUGCAUUUACAGGAUUAUUUUUUGCAUUGGAGGGAAAAGAAAUGAAGCAUUUUCUUCUGUAUAAAGAAAUGUCUUGGACACGAGGAAAAAAGGAUUAUUUCGAUCCCUGUGUUACUGAUUUGCUAUUUUAAAGUAAGUGAAU
This 398-nucleotide long non-coding RNA is filed under the name Manacus vitellinus (golden-collared manakin). RNAcentral's name for it is "lncRNA (ENSMVIG00005006235.1)". Lineage: Eukaryota; Metazoa; Chordata; Aves; Passeriformes; Pipridae. The record is from RNAcentral.